RNAcentral lists this ribosomal RNA (283 nucleotides) under uncultured bacterium. Its description in RNAcentral is "partial 16S ribosomal RNA". It matches the Rfam family "Bacterial small subunit ribosomal RNA", at positions 30 to 314 of the family's 1533-position model. The record is from RNAcentral.
AUUGAACGCUGGCGGCAUGCCUUACACAUGCAAGUCGAACGGCAGCACGGGGGCGAACCCUGGUGGCGAGUGGCGAACGGGUGAGUAAUACAUCGGAACGUGCCCGGUAGUGGGGAGUAGCUCGGCGAAAGCCGGAUUAAUACCGCAUACGACCCACGGUGAAAGCGGGGAGUCGCAAGACCUCGCGCUAGCGGAGCGGCCGAUGUCAGAUUAGGUUGUUGGUGGGGUAAGGCCUACCAAGCCGACGAUCUGUAGCUGGUCUGAGAGGACGACCAGCCACACU